Molecule: long non-coding RNA, 1399 nt
Organism: Macadamia integrifolia
Lineage: Eukaryota; Viridiplantae; Streptophyta; Magnoliopsida; Proteales; Proteaceae
Exons: 2
Source: RefSeq, a predicted model, not a curated record
AAUUAUUAUUAUUGUAAUAUAAAUCCAUCGUACAUUCCAUGUAUGAUAUUGCAAAGAUUUAUUUAUGUAUUUUUUCUGGUAAAAAAAUUUGGAAGUAUUUAGAAAGAAUAAGUUAUAAAAUCAAGGGACCCAAUCUAAGAUUAAUCCACCCCAUCGAGUAGCUUUCUAGGUUUUGAAACUUUGGUCUUCUCCUUCCUUGUUCAACCAGUUAAACAGUUGCCUUUUCCUCGGGUGGCUAGGUCCUUGGUAAAAUUCUGACCCGAACCCAAACCCAAACCCGAACAGCUUAAUAGAUUUAACAUUUUAAAAUGAUUCUUUCUAUCAGAAUAUAAUAACUGGGGCCAAAUAAAAAUGGAAGCCUUAAUUGAUUCUAGGUCAGAUGAGGAAUAUUUUGGCUGUCACUGAAAUACAGAAUCAGGGUUUGAUUUGUAUCCCAUGGAAAUCCCAAAAUUAGAUAUGAAAAAAAAAAAUCUAAGUGGAGAAAACUAUCCAAAAAAAAAAAAAAAAAAACCAAAGAAGUAUACAAAGAAGACACUAUGAAUAAAUUUGCAUGCCAUUAAAGUCUCAAAAUCCCAAUAACUCUUAUACGAAAAUCUUUCCCUAUAAAGAAAAAUAUUUAAAAAUAGAAUUCUUUCUAAAAUAGAAAAUAUACACAGAGAGCUAGCGUAGUUUAUAUAUAAGGCAGACAUGGGUAGUCGUUAGUAUUAAAGAACACAAUACCUUUGAUCUCUUGUAUUGAGAAAAGAGAUGGGAAGAAUUGGAGCUGACCAUAUCUCAAUAAGAAACAAUAUUUACCUUCUUAGCAUAAUCACACUCAACAAUAUUGAUUUCCUUAAAAAGGAAAAUACAUACAACUAACAAGCUAUAAAAAGAUUUUCCCUAAAAUGGAAGCUUAGAGUUUACUAAAAUCUAUAAAUAAUUCAAACAUGGGUAGUGAUCAAGUAAAGAAAAAAAAUUUAUUAGAAAAGAGAUGGCAAGAGUUGGAGCUAUGGUUCUCUUUCUAUUGGUUUUGAUAGUCUGCAAAGAUAUGGAACAUGAAGCAGCGUGCACCUACAAAAAUAUGAGAGAAGUGAAGUGCUGUGCGACUCUUAAAUUUGACAAAUGCGAUCACAAAAACAGUACUCAGAAUGCCUGUUGCGACAGAAUUUGCAGUAACAAAUGUGCCAAGGGUGGCGUAUGCAAGCCCCGGGAGAAGAAUGGGAUUUGUCAUUGUUACUGUUAAUGAAUGAUAUAUGGACAAAGUUUUCUUUCACCGCUCUCCAUAUAUCUCAUUCUUUAUUGUACGUUGUUGAUGGUCACGGUGAACUGAUGUCGAUCACUGUGGCCUCAAGAAAACUUGGUCCAUAAAUAUAUUAAAUAAAUAAAUAAAUAAAAAUUAACUAGUACAUGUUUAUAUAUA